UGGGGGAUAUUGCACAAUGGGCGAAAGCCUGAUGCAGCGACGCCGCGUGGGGGAUGAAGGCCUUCGGGUUGUAAACUUCUUUUGCUCUGAACAAGGCGCACCAUGGGGUGUGUUGAGUGUAGGGGUUGAUUAGCGCCGGCUAACUACGUGCCAGCAGCCGCGGUAAUACGUAGGGCGCGAGCGUUGUCCGGAAUUAUUGGGCGUAAAGGGCUUGUAGGUGGCUGGUUGCGUCUGUCGUGAAAGGUCAUGGCUUAACUGUGGGUUUGCGGUGGGUACGGGCUGGCUUGAGUGCAGUAGGGGAGGCUGGAAUUCCUGGUGUAGCGGUGGAAUGCGCAGAUAUCAGGAGGAAUACCGGUGGCGAAGGCGGGUCUCUGGGCUGUUACUGACACUGAGGAGCGAAAGCAUGGGGAGCGAACAGG
This 419-nucleotide ribosomal RNA is filed under the name bacterium. RNAcentral describes it as "partial 16S ribosomal RNA". It matches the Rfam family "Bacterial small subunit ribosomal RNA", at positions 355 to 776 of the family's 1533-position model. The record is from RNAcentral.